Molecule: ribosomal RNA, 297 nt
Filed under: Triticum aestivum (bread wheat)
Lineage: Eukaryota; Viridiplantae; Streptophyta; Magnoliopsida; Poales; Poaceae
Description: partial small subunit ribosomal RNA
Source: RNAcentral
CUGCCUCAAUAGUACUGGACCCUGCAGGGCGUCCACGAGGUGUUCGGCGACAAGGUGCGCAUCGAUCGGCUCGACAGCCGCACGCUGGAGCGCGACCACACCAAGACAUUCGCUUGCUGGGUGUGGGUAUGGGACAUGGCAUUCAUCCCCACCCGGCACACCUACUGGAAGCUCCCUCAGGGCGCCGGGCGCGUCGAGGAGAUGGAGGGCCACUCGCCGCCCGAUCGGCGCGUCGCCCUGCCACCUGGCGCCGAGCGCUACGACCUCCUCAUCCAUGUCCACAGGGUGGAGGACUGG